UAGACAGAACACUCCAUUCAUAAAACUCAAUUUUUUAGAAUCAUACAUGGUUUGGCACUUUUAUGAGAGUUAAAAAGAGAUGGGUACAUAAAUAUGACAACACGGUUGAGUUUCGUCUGUCUUUCUGUCAUUUUACUCCAUCAGUGGCGUGACGGUGGUGUGGUGUUUUUUUAUCAAAAAUUUUAAAAUAGUUAUUUUGUGUAUUUUAAUUUAAAUUUUAAUUUGUAAUAUACGUAGUAAUAUCGAUAAUAUACAAUGUAGUGGCGUUUGCACCAAGUUUUUUAAGCAAAACUUAACAUUAUGUUUAGCUUAUUUUCUUGCACUAUGCCUUAAUCUAACUUGAAUUUAUAUUUAAAUUAAGCGGUCAAAUUUCCAGGCUAGUGGCCACUUAACCUAUCUUAGACACAAAAAAAUUGUUUUACGAGGAAGAAUUAUUGUUAUUCCUUUGAGAAAGCUAAAAAGUGUAUUAUGAUACCUCUACGUAAGUUCGAUGAUUACUUUUGAUAUCCUAGACGUCGAUCAGUAGGUAUAUUCAUUGAAAACACAGAGACUUUUAAACGACACUGUAAUAUAUAUCCUCGGUUUAAUUGAACAAAAUCUAGAAUAUCAAAAUGAGAGAAACAACAGCAUAACUGCCUUAAAUCAACAACAAUUUUAUAGUAUAUUUGGGUUUCCUGGGAUUAUAGGGAUAGUUGAUGGAACACAAUGUAAGAAAACAUUCACCUGGUGAGAUUGCAUAUGCAUUGAGGGGAUAUAUGCAGAAAUAGAGCUGAAGAAAUGUUUCAGAAUUAUCGUUAUAUGGAAACGCCACUUUCAAUAUGUGUUU
This 826-nucleotide long non-coding RNA is filed under the name Sitophilus oryzae (rice weevil). RNAcentral describes it as "uncharacterized LOC115880104, transcript variant X1". Lineage: Eukaryota; Metazoa; Arthropoda; Insecta; Coleoptera; Curculionidae. The record is from RNAcentral.